AACGUGGGAGGCGAGCGUUAUCCGGAUUUACUGGGCGUAAAGCGCGUGCAGGCGGUUUGGUAAGUCGGACGUGAAAGCUCCUGGCUCAACUAGGAGAGGCCGUUCGAUACUGCCAGACUAGAGGGCAGCAGAGGGAGGUGGAAUUCCGGGUGUAGCGGUGAAAUGCGUAGAUAUCCGGAGGAACACCAGUGGCGAAGGCGGCCUCCUGGACUGUCCCUGACGCUAAGACGCGAAAGCUAGGGUAGCAAACGGGAUUAGAUACCCCCGUA
This 269-nucleotide ribosomal RNA is filed under the name uncultured prokaryote. RNAcentral's name for it is "partial 16S ribosomal RNA". It matches the Rfam family "Bacterial small subunit ribosomal RNA", at positions 524 to 792 of the family's 1533-position model. The record is from RNAcentral.